Molecule: ribosomal RNA, 496 nt
Filed under: uncultured bacterium
Lineage: Bacteria
Description: partial 16S ribosomal RNA
Rfam family: Bacterial small subunit ribosomal RNA
Source: RNAcentral
GAUGAACGCUGGCGGCGUGCCUAAUACAUGCGAGUCGAGCGAACAGACGAGGAGCUUGCUUCUCUGACGUUAGCGGCGGACGGGUGAGUAACACGUGGAUAACCUACCUAUAAGACUGGGAUAACUUCGGGAAACCGGAGCUAAUACCGGAUAAUAUAUUGAACCGCAUGGUUCAAUAGUGAAAGACGGUUUUGCUGUCACUUAUAGAUGGAUCCGCGCCGCAUUAGCUAGUUGGUAAGGUAACGGCUUACCAAGGCAACGAUGCGUAGCCGACCUGAGAGGGUGAUCGGCCACACUGGAACUGAGACACGGUCCAGACUCCUACGGGAGGCAGCAGUAGGGAAUCUUCCGCAAUGGGCGAAAGCCUGACGGAGCAACGCCGCGUGAGUGAUGAAGGUCUUCGGAUCGUAAAACUCUGUUAUUAGGGAAGAACAAAUGUGUAAGUAACUAUGCACGUCUUGACGGUACCUAAUCAGAAAGCCACGGCUAACUACGU